GAGUUUGAUCAUGGCUCAGAACGAACGCUGGCGGCAUGCCUAACACAUGCAAGUCGAACGAGACCUUCGGGUCUAGUGGCGCACGGGUGCGUAACGCGUGGGAAUCUGCCCAAAGGUACGGAAUAACUCCUCGAAAGGGGUGCUAAUACCGUAUGAUGUCGCAAGACCAAAGAUUUAUCGCCUUUGGAUGAGCCCGCGUAGGAUUAGCUAGUUGGUGGGGUAAAGGCCUACCAAGGCGACGAUCCUUAGCUGGUCUGAGAGGAUGAUCAGCCACACUGGGACUGAGACACGGCCCAGACUCCUACGGGAGGCAGCAGUGGGGAAUAUUGGACAAUGGGCGAAAGCCUGAUCCAGCAAUGCCGCGUGAGUGAUGAAGGCCCUAGGGUUGUAAAGCUCUUUUACCCGGGAUGAUAAUGACAGUACCGGGAGAAUAAGCCCCGGCUAACUCCGUGCCAGCCGCCGCGGUAAG
Molecule: ribosomal RNA, 469 nt
Filed under: uncultured bacterium
Lineage: Bacteria
Description: bacterial SSU rRNA
Rfam family: Bacterial small subunit ribosomal RNA
Source: RNAcentral